AUUGAACGCUGGCGGCAGGCCUAACACAUGCAAGUCGAGCGGAUGAAGGGAGCUUGCUCCUGGAUUCAGCGGCGGACGGGUGAGUAAUGCCUAGGAAUCUGCCUGGUAGUGGGGGAUAACGUCCGGAAACGGGCGCUAAUACCGCAUACGUCCUGAGGGAGAAAGUGGGGGGUCUUCGGACCUCACGCUAUCAGAUGAGCCUAGGUCGGAUUAGCUAGUUGGUGGGGUAAAGGCCUACCAAGGCGACGAUCCGUAACUGGUCUGAGAGGAUGAUCAGUCACACUGGAACUGAGACACGGCCCACACUCCUACGGGAGGAAGCAGUGGGGAAUAUUGGACAAUGGGCGAGAGCCUGAUCUAGCCAUGCCGCGUGUGUGAAGAAGGUCUUCGGAUUGUAAAACACUUUAAGUUGGGAGGAAGGGCAGUAAGUUAAUACCUUGCUGUUUUGACGUUACCAACAGAAUAAGCCCCGGCUAACUUCGUG
This 484-nucleotide ribosomal RNA is filed under the name uncultured bacterium. RNAcentral's name for it is "partial 16S ribosomal RNA". It matches the Rfam family "Bacterial small subunit ribosomal RNA", at positions 30 to 507 of the family's 1533-position model. The record is from RNAcentral.